ACUAUUGAGAGUUUGAUCCUGGCUCAGGAUGAACGCUGGCGGCAUGCCUAAUACAUGCAAGUCAA
RNAcentral lists this ribosomal RNA (65 nucleotides) under Bacilli bacterium. RNAcentral describes it as "partial 16S ribosomal RNA". It matches the Rfam family "Bacterial small subunit ribosomal RNA", at positions 1 to 65 of the family's 1533-position model. Lineage: Bacteria; Bacillati; Bacillota; Bacilli. The record is from RNAcentral.